RNAcentral lists this ribosomal RNA (134 nucleotides) under Bipolaris sp. YPT-2016a. Its description in RNAcentral is "partial 28S ribosomal RNA". It matches the Rfam family "Eukaryotic large subunit ribosomal RNA", at positions 1 to 133 of the family's 3401-position model. The record is from RNAcentral. Lineage: Eukaryota; Fungi; Ascomycota; Dothideomycetes; Pleosporales; Pleosporaceae.
UUGACCUCGGAUCAGGUAGGGAUACCCGCUGAACUUAAGCAUAUCAAUAAGCGGAGGAAAAGAAACCAACAGGGAUUGCCCUAGUAACGGCGAGUGAAGCGGCAACAGCUCAAAUUUGAAAUCUGGCUCUUUCA